RNAcentral lists this long non-coding RNA (1617 nucleotides) under Salmo salar (Atlantic salmon). RNAcentral's name for it is "lncRNA (ENSSSAG00000116604.1)". Lineage: Eukaryota; Metazoa; Chordata; Actinopteri; Salmoniformes; Salmonidae. The record is from RNAcentral.
UGAAAGUUAUUGGAAACUCAUUCAAUGUUAUAAAUUUGAAAGAAUAUUACCCCUGUUGGUGAAAACAUUAAGAACAAAGUCAAUAUUCCUCUCAUGGCAGCUAGGGUAGAACAAUUACUUAUUCCUUACAGUUAUGCCUGAAUUAUUCCACAAAAGAGCUUUAUGUGGGGUAAAAUUGUACAGGAAACAUUAAAGAUUGUUGGUGAAACCUACACUGAAAAAACGGGACAGAUUUAUGUGAUUUACUCAAACAUGUUUUGUUUCUCCUCACAACACAAUUUCAUUGUUUGCGAUCAAUGCAACACGAAGCAAAAUCUGAUCUACUAGUUUGAAUCAUGUAGUUGGAGUGUGAACCAAUAAAGCUAAUUCAUGACGAGUAAUGAGGAAGAAGUCAAACCGCGUGAGAGAAGAAUCUUCCAGAAAGAUCCUUGGCGCGUUAGCGGAGAAGACAAUAUCUAGAAUCGUGGUCAAGGUCCAUGAUGUUUGCCUGCUACAUUUGUGCUGCUUUUGUCUACACAUUCAAAGGAUGUAUAGUGUUGGAGAAACAGAAGAGAGCCUCGAGGACAUGCGGAAAGCUCUACUGUCUGAUGUGAAGAAAAGGAACAACAGAGAGACGGGCAUGGAUGAAGAGUCCACCAAGGCAGCUGUUGAGGACACUACUGUGGGGAUCUACAUUAUCAAAGACCAUUUCGCGAGUGAGGAUCCAGGGGACACUGGGAUUGUCCUUGAAGGCGUCAAGGUGCUGCAGGAUCUGGGCAACGUAGCAUUUGCUGUUGCAAUGCUGUUCGGCCUCAUGUAUGCCAUGAACCUCAGUUACCCUAACUGAGCCCCGCUACACUUUUGAUGUCUUUCAGAAGGUUUUUAUGGAACUGAAUGGGGACAAACUUUCUAACAAAGCUGUUGCAUUUAAAAACAGGCUGUUUCAGUGAGCUGUUUUGUUGUAUGUUGUGUUUCACACUGUAUGUUUGACUUAUGUUUAACUUGUUAGAUUGUUCACAAAAACUCAAAACAGAAUGAGCAUGUCCAAAGAUGGAGCUAUCGUGAUUUCCUUAAUUUUCUUUGCUGCUUAUGGAAAAAGUUCAGUUUCACUUUGUAGUGACUUUUAGUCAAUAUAAUUAACAUGCACAAAUAUGUCCACAUACCUACCUCAUUCUUUGUCUGUUACUCCUUAUGAAAAAUAACUACCUCAUUUUGUAACAAAAUGCAUUAGAGGGCCCAAUCAUUGUUAGGACAACUCUUCUUUUUUUAUAUAUACAGAUACUGUAUAAAGGCUACAGCCCCUUGAUUUAGACCUGUGCAAUUCAUUGAACACUGAAUGUCAGUGAAUGGACAUUUGUCAUUCCAAAGAGCUGAACCGUUACAAAAAAUACAAUAUCAUUUUUGAAACGCAUGCCUUUGCCUUCUUUGUCACUGAUGCAAAUGGUCUCUUGCUCCUUGGUUACACAUCCUUAGAAAACGUUUUAUUUCCCUAUUAAUUUGUUUAAAUACAAACACUAAGGCAGAAAAUGACAGCAUUUCAUCUUGUGCUUACAUUAAUAAUUAUGUAGAACCUUAAAUUAUGGACAAAGUUAUUCAUAAUUAUGAGUAACAUCGGAACAUGAUCAAAUACAUUUCAAG